UCCUCGAAUGGCAACUGUAUGUGGGUAUCGCUAACAUAGUUAUGCAUUUUUUUUUCCAGAAAUCUAUUUUAUAAGAAUAUAUUAAUGGCAGAGGGGUAGCUUGCGAGUAGAAAUGAGGAAAUUGAUUAUCGCAGUUGGGUAAAGCUGCAAUGAAGAGGAGCAAAGGCUUCUCUCUGAAGUGUCUUGUGAAUAAGAGAAAUAUAAGAACUCUAUUGGCAUUUGCGGUUAGACCCACAAAAUUGACCCAUGUAUUGCAAUUCGUCAGAAAACAGAAUUACAGGUAAAGGCAGCCUGUAAGAGCACUAUUCACUUCCUGUAGACUUUUCCUCUUUUUAGCAACUCAUUACGUACACUGCCUUGUGAGAAAAAAGUGUGCAUAAUAAUGAUUAUAUGUGUAAUUUUAAGACGAUCUUUCGGUUGUCGGAAAGAGUGAAUUGAACAGGACAUGCAGAAAGAUGGUUGAAGUUCCAUAGAAGCUGCUGUGGUGGCCUACACAUGGAAGAUUGCAGGGAAGAUUAUUAGCGUAGGAGUUGGGAAAAAUUAAAAAAUGAGGUAAUGAUGAUGUAAAAGCAUGUGUCGUCGUCUUAAGUUUUGAGGCAAAUUUUUUUUUUUAAAAGCGGGAUGUGGGCAAGUUGUCAUGACGACAGGGAUGUUCUGCUGAUGAAGUCUUGCUCCUCGUUGUCCAAUCAGAUCGUGGAGCUAAAACUGCAGCUUGAACAGGAGAGGACGCACCUAUUCCAGCAGCACAAUGCCUAAGAAGGACAACCCAGUCCGGGACCACCAACAGAAAACUGACAAUUUGGAAAAGCUGCUAAGGCCACAAUGGUUCAGCGCAAAAGGCGAAUUCGGGAAUAGUGUGCGCGGGACAGAGAGCAGGUUCACUGUGCCUCAUCCUGCCUUCCCUUCCCCCCGGAGCCCCUCCUCCCCAGUAUUCCUAUCAUGGGGUCUCUGUGGGAAGCUAUUUGGCACGCUGACCCCCAACUGUGGAUGUAUUUGACUCUUCAAACUGGAAGAUGAAAUGUAUAAUGUCAGCAUGGAAGCCAUCAUUAUUUGCUUCUGGGUGUAAAUCGGCAGGUGGCUCUGUACGGGGGAUGGCGGUCAAAUGGCGGCAUCAGCACAAAGAUAGCCAUUUCAGAUGAGAGUCUGACCUCAGUGUUUUUGCCAAGCAAUAUUAUAGAUUUGCAAACCAGUAAAGAUGUGGUGGCACACGAAUGUACCAUUUAGUUGUCUUUUUCUAGGAAUACGUUUACAUGGCCAAUAUCCAACAUACUAUCAUUCAAAAACGAAAACAAAAAAAAAAAAACAUAAAGAUUAAUUUAUUUGAUCUGUUAUUACUUCUGGACAGUGUUUCCUCACUGUUUUUUGUAAAGCACAAUCUCCACAGUAUGAAGUAAAUUAUCUUAUUGUUCUUGUUCAAGUGGGCAUAGCUUGGGACAAAAUAAAGUAUACAUCAGCAUGUUUACGGAAAUGAUU
This 1473-nucleotide long non-coding RNA is filed under the name Scleropages formosus (Asian bonytongue). RNAcentral describes it as "lncRNA (ENSSFOG00015024323.1)". The record is from RNAcentral. Lineage: Eukaryota; Metazoa; Chordata; Actinopteri; Osteoglossiformes; Osteoglossidae.